This 253-nucleotide ribosomal RNA is filed under the name uncultured bacterium. Its description in RNAcentral is "partial 16S ribosomal RNA". It matches the Rfam family "Bacterial small subunit ribosomal RNA", at positions 524 to 776 of the family's 1533-position model. The record is from RNAcentral.
UACGAAGGGGGCUAGCGUUGUUCGGAUUUACUGGGCGUAAAGCGCGUGUAGGCGGGUCGUUAAGUUGGGGGUGAAAUCCCGAGGCUCAACCUCGGAACUGCCUUCAAAACUGGCGACCUGGAGCAAGAUAGAGGCGAGUGGAAUUGCGAGUGUAGAGGUGAAAUUCGUAGAUAUUCGCAGGAACACCAGUGGCGAAGGCGACUCGCUGGAUCUUUGCUGACGCUGAGACGAGAAAGCGUGGGGAGCAAACAGG